This 429-nucleotide ribosomal RNA is filed under the name Gemmatimonadota bacterium. RNAcentral's name for it is "Gemmatimonadetes bacterium partial 16S ribosomal RNA". It matches the Rfam family "Bacterial small subunit ribosomal RNA", at positions 355 to 776 of the family's 1533-position model. The record is from RNAcentral. Lineage: Bacteria; Pseudomonadati; Gemmatimonadota.
UAGGGAAUCUUCGGCAAUGGACGAAAGUCUGACCGAGCAACGCCGCGUGAGUGAAGAAGGUUUUCGGAUCGUAAAACUCUGUUGUUAGAGAAGAACAAGGACGUUAGUAAUUGAACGUCCCCUGACGGUAUCUAACCAGAAAGCCACGGCUAACUACGUGCCAGCAGCCGCGGUAAUACGUAGGUGGCAAGCGUUGUCCGGAUUUAUUGGGCGUAAAGCGAGCGCAGGCGGUUUCUUAAGUGUGAUGUAAAAGCCCCCGGAUCAACCGGGGAGGGUAAUUGGAAACUGGAAGACUUAGGUGCAGAAGAGUGGAGUUGAAUUCCAUGUGUGGCGGUAAAAUGCUUAGAUAUAUGAGGGAAACCCAGGGGCAAAGGCGGCUCUCUGGUCUGUACCUAACGCUAAGGCUCGAAAGCGUGGGAAGCAAACAGG